This 254-nucleotide non-coding RNA is filed under the name Schizosaccharomyces cryophilus. Lineage: Eukaryota; Fungi; Ascomycota; Schizosaccharomycetes; Schizosaccharomycetales; Schizosaccharomycetaceae. The record is from RNAcentral.
UAGGUUUAAUAGUUUAACUGAAUUUGAACAUCAUUCAUUGUUAACUUUCACAAUGAGUGUCUCAAAUGGAAAGUUUGGAAUCCUUGCUAUACAGGAUUUAUACUCAAUAAUUCAAUAGGAAUUAAUUAAAGAGAAUUAGAUAAAUCUAUGUGUUAAUUAUAUAUAAAUCAAAUUCCUUAGGUAAAAUACUAAUUAUUGAUAAAAUAGUAAUUUCAGUGUUUAACAUAAUCCAUCUUAUUAACUAUUAAACCCCC